Molecule: ribosomal RNA, 233 nt
Filed under: uncultured Bacillota bacterium
Lineage: Bacteria; Bacillati; Bacillota
Description: uncultured Firmicutes bacterium partial 16S ribosomal RNA
Rfam family: Bacterial small subunit ribosomal RNA
Source: RNAcentral
CGGGUGAGUAACGCGUGAGUAACCUGCCUCUCAGAGGGGGAUAACGUUCUGAAAAGAACGCUAAUACCGCAUGAUAUUGCGAAACCGCAUGGUUUUGCAAUCAAAGGAGCAAUCCGCUGAGAGAUGGACUCGCGUCCGAUUAGCCAGUUGGCGGGGUAACGGCCCACCAAAGCGACGAUCGGUAGCCGGACUGAGAGGUUGAACGGCCACAUUGGGACUGAGACACGGCCCAG